Molecule: long non-coding RNA, 404 nt
Organism: Erpetoichthys calabaricus (reedfish)
Lineage: Eukaryota; Metazoa; Chordata; Cladistia; Polypteriformes; Polypteridae
Exons: 4
Source: RefSeq, a predicted model, not a curated record
UCAUUAAAUAGAAAUAAUGGAGAGCAUUUUUUCUAUCUGUUGUAGCCAUUAUGUCAUAGUUCACCAAGAGAGGAAUCUAAGCCUGACCAACAAAAGAUUUCAGUCCCAAUUAGUGAAAAGCAAUUAGACAAAUGCACCACACAAACAUCCACAAGUUCAUCAUCCCUGACUGGGUCACAGUGCUACAGCAACUACGUAGACUUUUAUUCACCCAUUGUCAUUGAGGACAAGGAAAGCUCCUCUGAAGAAGAGUCUGAAAACAUAGUAAGUAUUAAAGAUCCAUCAGUUGAUGUGAAAGCAAUUUUGUCUGAUCUGGCCAUGCAAAUACUACCUAAUAAAGUUUCAAGAUUCAAUAUAAACAGAGGAGAUCUUUGGGAAGGAGCCCUGCGUGAAUUUAAGAGACA